AAAUAAUCGCGCAGAAAAAUAAAGUAUUUAAAUAAUAUGCGCAUGCGCAGAUGUUAAUAUCGCCUCGCGAAAACAUUCAAAACAAAAACACUCGAAACGGAAUUGCCUGAAGAGACCUCAGCAGAAAUGAAAUCUCCAGGAUCAACCAGCAGGCCAACAUCCAGUGGGAAGAAGCAGAAGAUUGAGAAAAAGAAGAAACGUUAGCAGGCCUUGGUGAUCAUGAAAACAUACUGCAAACAUUCCUGGUGAGAACAUUCGUCAUAAAGACACUGUAUUGCCAUUCAACAUGCUGUGAUAGAAGAUUGGAGCAAAUUGUUCAAUGAAUCUCAUAUUUGUAUGCACCUGCCCACCAAAUGGGCAACGCAGUCUAUGUGCUGUUGCAUGAGGAUUAGAACUUUUGUUUUAUUGAUGUCCUAAUGAAUUUUAUUUUUUGUUUGUAAGGGAAUGUGUUACAUCAGGAUUGUUGCAAACAUUUAUAAUAAAUCUUAUUUUAUGCUUUA
Dreissena polymorpha is the source of this 500-nucleotide long non-coding RNA. RefSeq lists it as uncharacterized. The transcript has 3 exons. Lineage: Eukaryota; Metazoa; Mollusca; Bivalvia; Myida; Dreissenidae. The record is from RefSeq and is a predicted model, not a curated record.